RNAcentral lists this ribosomal RNA (253 nucleotides) under uncultured bacterium. RNAcentral describes it as "partial 16S ribosomal RNA". It matches the Rfam family "Bacterial small subunit ribosomal RNA", at positions 524 to 776 of the family's 1533-position model. The record is from RNAcentral.
UACAGAGGGUGCAAACGUUGCUCGGAAUUACUGGGCGUAAAGCGCGUGUAGGUGGCUUUGUAAGUCCAACGUGAAAGCCUGGGGCUCAACCCCAGAAGUGCGUAGGAUACUGCGAAGCUGGAGUCCUGAAGAGGAGAGCGGAAUUCCCGGUGUAGAGGUGAAAUUCGUAGAUAUCGGGAGGAACAUCUGUGGCGAAGGCGGCUCUCUGGGCAGGUACUGACACUGAGACGCGAAAGCGUGGGGAGCAAACAGG